This is a long non-coding RNA of Notolabrus celidotus (New Zealand spotty), 826 nucleotides long. RefSeq lists it as uncharacterized. The transcript is spliced from 2 exons. Lineage: Eukaryota; Metazoa; Chordata; Actinopteri; Labriformes; Labridae. The record is from RefSeq and is a predicted model, not a curated record.
GCUUUUAAUCAAAGGUAAAUUUGUGGAAAACAUUUCCGGUGCUUGUUUGCUGAAUUGGCAAUGAUGGAUUAAGUUAGUAUUGCGUUUUAGCAAAAAUGCUAACUUUUCAUUAUGAUUUUAAAUCAGGAAGUGAAUUGUCCUCCUCUGCAUUGGAGUUACUCUUGUGAACAGCACUACUGAGUUUGCAAAUGCACGUGCAGCCAGCUUAAAGUUACUGCACGUCUGUAAUAUACACCUGAGCUCAAGGAGGAAUCCACACAACAGACAACUACACAUGCAUUAAACAGUGUUUUAAGAACCCUUAUGAGAGCUUCUUCAGACUUUUAUUUCUGGAAAGUUUUAUCUCAGGAAUAUGAGGCAUGAACGACUGAAUGGAUUUAAAGUGAUGAAUACCCAUUGUGAUAACUUAAAGGAUGUGGAGGCCUUUCUGCAAGAGUUUGCAGCCAGUGGACUUCCUACAGGAAAGCAUGGCAGCACCGAGCAUAUUAUGCUGAAGUUGGAGCUAAUAAAUGUUGAGCAGCAGUUGAUCACACUGCAAUUAUUGCUAAGGAGACAAGAGAGGAAACGUGGGAGGAGAUGUAUUGAAUGGCCCAUGACGGCGAUUACGCCAACUACCUAAAUACAAUGUUACCCAGCAGACCAAUCAUAGGGCUUUCGGUCUGCAAGCCUCUCCAUGUGUAGCUACAUUUUUGAGAAGAUGCACUUCAAGCUACGUGAUUUCUGAGUAAAGGACACUGAACCGCCCCCGCUUUGUGUGCAAACAAUAUUGAAUAACUUCUUCCUGUAAAAAUAUUGCAACUUGAAUAAAUACAAAACUUAUACCUGA